UGGCGACGAAGGAGGCUGAAACAACGGUCUUUAGGGACAUGAUUACUUGUCCGGUUACCUCGUCAUCUGAUGCUAGUCAGGUUGGCCAGUGUAUAAAACUAGCGUUGAAGAAUUUAGGCUACUCUGGAUGUAUCACCAUCACAGCACUUGGCAUACUAACAAGCAUCGAUACCGACGUCCUGCGAGCCAUCUAUUCCUCUGGAGUCUCUCUUAUUCACAUCAAUACCCAUCGCUUUGGCUUUGCUAUGGAAGUGAUGUCAUGGAGACGCAAACAUCAGCUCCCUGCUAAUUUCAUGCUCAUAUCCGGUGAGGAGUCCUUCCUUCGUUAUGAUAGCCGCCUCAGCUCGUCCGGACACAGCGUUAUUCUGACAUUACCAUUUGGUCCUCCUCCUCAACAACAAGUCUUAUCUAUUCCUGUACUUGCCCCUGUCUAGGAAAGCUUUCUGGCAAGCUCACGGGAAGAUGCAAUUGAGUCAGUGGUACAUGACAAGGAGCCGGGUUGGUUUUGCGCACGUUGUUGUCUUCCUGGCGACCAAGGCUUUGACAAUUUCGCCUCACAUCUCAAAGGUCAUCCUCACGUUUCCCCUGAAUCUCUUCGGGAGAUGAAGAGGAAACAACCAGAGG
RNA transcript from Camelina sativa (false flax), 624 nucleotides. RefSeq lists it as uncharacterized. Lineage: Eukaryota; Viridiplantae; Streptophyta; Magnoliopsida; Brassicales; Brassicaceae. The record is from RefSeq and is a predicted model, not a curated record.